Molecule: small RNA, 31 nt
Filed under: Bombyx mori (domestic silkworm)
Lineage: Eukaryota; Metazoa; Arthropoda; Insecta; Lepidoptera; Bombycidae
Description: ovarian small RNA-32003
Source: RNAcentral
UGACUGGUGAUCAGUGGCCUGUGCUGCCACC